RNAcentral lists this ribosomal RNA (253 nucleotides) under uncultured bacterium. RNAcentral describes it as "partial 16S ribosomal RNA". It matches the Rfam family "Bacterial small subunit ribosomal RNA", at positions 524 to 776 of the family's 1533-position model. The record is from RNAcentral.
UACGUAGGGUGCGAGCGUUAAUCGGAAUUACUGGGCGUAAAGCGCGCGCAGGCGGCGAUGUAAGACCGAUGUGAAAUCCCCGGGCUUAACCUGGGAACUGCAUUGGUGACUGCAUCGCUCGAGUAUGGCAGAGGGGGGUAGAAUUCCACGUGUAGCAGUGAAAUGCGUAGAGAUGUGGAGGAAUACCGAUGGCGAAGGCAGCCCCCUGGGUCAAUACUGACGCUCAUGCACGAAAGCGUGGGGAGCAAACAGG